GCAGUUAAAAAGCUCGUAGUUGGAUUUCGGAAUGGGCCCGUUGGUCCGCCGCAAGUGUGUUACUGACUGGUCUGUUCUUCUUCGCAAAGACUGCGUGUGCUCUUCAUUGAGUGUGCGUAGGAUUUACGACGUUUACUUUGAAAAAAUUAGAGUGUUCAAAGCAGGCUAUCGCUUGAAUACAUGAGCAUGGAAUAAUGGAAUAGGACUUUGGUUCUAUUUUGUUGGUUUCUAGGACCGAAGUAAUGAUUAAGAGGGACAAUUGGGGGCAUCCGUAUUUCGUUGUCAGAGGUGAAAUUCUUGGAUUUACGAAAGACGAACAACUGCGAAAGCACUUGCCAAGAGUGUUUUCAUUAAUCAAGAACGAAAGUUAGAGGAUCGAAGACGAUCAGAUACCGCCCUAGUUCUAACCAUAAACGAUGUCGACUAGGGAUCAGCGGGCGUUAUUGUACGACCCCGUUGGCACCUUACGGGAAACCAAAGUUUUUGGAUUCCGGGGGAAGUAUGGUUGCAAAGCUGAAACUUAAAGGAAUUGACGGAAGGGCACCACCAGGAGUGGAGCCUGCGGCUUAAUUUGACUCAACACGGGAAAACUCACCAGGUCCAGACAUAGUAAGGAUUGACAGGUUGAGAGC
RNAcentral lists this ribosomal RNA (632 nucleotides) under uncultured marine eukaryote. Its description in RNAcentral is "SSU rRNA". It matches the Rfam family "Eukaryotic small subunit ribosomal RNA", at positions 615 to 1255 of the family's 1831-position model. The record is from RNAcentral.